This 425-nucleotide ribosomal RNA is filed under the name uncultured bacterium. RNAcentral describes it as "partial 16S ribosomal RNA". It matches the Rfam family "Bacterial small subunit ribosomal RNA", at positions 354 to 796 of the family's 1533-position model. The record is from RNAcentral.
GUUAGGAAUAUUGGACAAUGGGCGCAAGCCUGAUCCAGCCAUGCCGCGUGAGUGAUGAAGGCCUUCGGGUUGUAAAGCUCUUUAGUCCACGAAUAUAAUGACUGUAGUGGAAGAAUAAGCCCCGGCUAACUUCGUGCCAGCAGCCGCGGUAAUACGAAGGGGGCGAGCGUUAUUCGGAAUCACUGGGCGUAAAGCGUGCGUAGGCGGCUUUGCAAGUUGGGAGUGAAAGCCCAGGGCUCAACCCUGGAAUUGCUCUCAAAACUGCAAGGCUCGAAUUCGGGAGAGGAUAGCGGAAUUGUCAGUGUAGCAGUGAAAUGCGUAGAUAUUGACAGGAACACCAGUGGCGUAAGCGGCUAUCUGGACCGAUAUUGACGCUGAGGCACGAAAGCGUGGGGAUCAAACAGGAUUAGAUACCCUUGUAGUCC